This 27-nucleotide transfer RNA is filed under the name Elseya novaeguineae (New Guinea snapping turtle). RNAcentral describes it as "partial tRNA-Leu". Lineage: Eukaryota; Metazoa; Chordata; Testudines; Chelidae. The record is from RNAcentral.
UUUUAAAGGAUAGAAGUAAUCCAGUGG